UAUAUAAUACGAUGACACACAAUAGUACUGAGCACUUGUGACCAAAUCAACGAAUGCUGCUAAGUUGAUAAUGAAUAUAUAUAAUUUAUCACGUUUGCCAUGAUCAGACUAUAAUUUUAAAUAUUUUGUUGCCCUAGAAGUAAGAUUCUUUUAUAGACUUUUUUAAAACUUGAUUUGGUUGAUACACAAUAAUUUUCUGAUACA
Molecule: unclassified non-coding RNA, 204 nt
Filed under: Melitaea cinxia (Glanville fritillary)
Lineage: Eukaryota; Metazoa; Arthropoda; Insecta; Lepidoptera; Nymphalidae
Description: misc RNA ENSMCXG00005005040.1
Source: RNAcentral